UAUGGCUCAGGAUGAACGCUAGCGACAGGCUUAACACAUGCAAGUCGAGGGCAUCACGGGAGUAGCAAUACAACUGGUGGCGACCGGCGCACGGGUGAGUAACGCGUAUGCAACCUACCUAUCAGAGGGGAAUAACCCGGCGAAAGUCGGACUAAUACCGCAUAAAACAGGGGCACCGCAUGGUGAUAUUUGUUAAAGAAAUUCGCUGAUAGAUGGGCAUGCGUUCCAUUAGGUAGUUGGUGAGGUAACGGCUCACCAAGCCGACGAUGGAUAGGGGAACUGAGAGGUUGGUCCCCCACACUGGUACUGAGACACGGACCAGACUCCUACGGGAGGCAGCAGUGAGGAAUAUUGGUCAAUGGGCGGGAGCCUGAACCAGCCAAGUCGCGUGAAAGGAAGAAGGAUCUAUGGUUCGUAAACUUCUUUUGCAGGGGAAUAAAGUGCAGGACGUGUCCUGUUUUGUAUGUACCCUGAGAAUAAGGAUCGGCUAACUCCGUGCCAGCCGCUGC
This 509-nucleotide ribosomal RNA is filed under the name uncultured bacterium. Its description in RNAcentral is "bacterial SSU rRNA". It matches the Rfam family "Bacterial small subunit ribosomal RNA", at positions 18 to 518 of the family's 1533-position model. The record is from RNAcentral.